RNAcentral lists this ribosomal RNA (955 nucleotides) under uncultured Rhodanobacter sp. Its description in RNAcentral is "bacterial SSU rRNA". It matches the Rfam family "Bacterial small subunit ribosomal RNA", at positions 58 to 1001 of the family's 1533-position model. Lineage: Bacteria; Pseudomonadati; Pseudomonadota; Gammaproteobacteria; Lysobacterales; Rhodanobacteraceae. The record is from RNAcentral.
CAAGUCGAACGGCAGCACAGGGGAGCUUGCUCCCUGGGUGGCGAGUGGCGGACGGGUGAGUAAUACAUCGGGACCUACCCAGACGUGGGGGAUAACCUCGGGAAACCGGGACUAAUACCGCAUACGUCCUACGGGAGAAAGCAGGGGAUCUUCGGACCUUGCGCGGUUGGACGGACCGAUGUUCGAUUAGCUAGUUGGUGGGGUAAAGGCCUACCAAGGCGACGAUCGAUAGCUGGUCUGAGAGGAUGAUCAGCCACAUUGGGACUGAGACACGGCCCAAACUCCUACGGGAGGCAGCAGUGGGGAAUAUUGGACAAUGGGCGCAAGCCUGAUCCAGCAAUGCCGCGUGUGUGAAGAAGGCCUUCGGGUUGUAAAGCACUUUUAUCAGGAGCGAAAUCGGCAAGGUUAAUAACCGUGUCGUCUGACGGUACCUGAGGAAUAAGCACCGGCUAACUUCGUGCCAGCAGCCGCGGUAAUACGAAGGGUGCAAGCGUUAAUCGGAAUUACUGGGCGUAAAGGGUGCGUAGGCGGUUGUUUAAGUCUGUCGUGAAAUCCCCGGGCUCAACCUGGGAAUGGCGAUGGAAACUGGGCAGCUAGAGUGUGUCAGAGGAUGGUGGAAUUCCCGGUGUAGCGGUGAAAUGCGUAGAGAUCGGGAGGAACAUCAGUGGCGAAGGCGGCCAUCUGGGACAACACUGACGCUGAAGCACGAAAGCGUGGGGAGCAAACAGGAUUAGAUACCCUGGUAGUCCACGCCCUAAACGAUGCGAACUGGACGUUGGUCUCAACUCGGAGAUCAGUGUCGAAGCUAACGCGUUAAGUUCGCCGCCUGGGGAGUACGGUCGCAAGACUGAAACUCAAAGGAAUUGACGGGGGCCCGCACAAGCGGUGGAGUAUGUGGUUUAAUUCGAUGCAACGCGAAGAACCUUACCUGGCCUUGACAUGUCGCGAAUCCUGC